This 443-nucleotide ribosomal RNA is filed under the name uncultured bacterium. Its description in RNAcentral is "partial 16S ribosomal RNA". It matches the Rfam family "Bacterial small subunit ribosomal RNA", at positions 338 to 795 of the family's 1533-position model. The record is from RNAcentral.
CCUACGGGAGGCAGCAGUGGGGAAUAUUGGGCAAUGGAGGCAACUCUGACCCAGCAACGCCGCGUGAAUGAUGAAGGUCUUCGGAUUGUAAAGUUCUGUGAUGGGGGAUGAACACAAUGACGGUACCCCAAUAGCAAGCCACGGCUAACUACGUGCCAGCAGCCGCGGUAAUACGUAGGUGGCAAGCGUUAUCCGGAAUGACUGGGCGUAAAGGGUGCGUAGGUGGUUUAGUAAGUUGGCAGUGUAAUUCCGGGGCUCAACCUCGGCGCUACCGCCAAAACUAUUAGACUAGAGUGCAGGGGGGGUAAGUGGAAUUCCUAGUGUAGCGGUGGAAUGCGUAGAUAUUAGGAGGAACAUCAGGGGCGAAGGCGACUUACCGGACUGUAACUGACACUGAGGCACGAAAGCGUGGGGAGCAAACAGGAUUAGAUACCCCAGUAGUC